Molecule: RNase P RNA, 386 nt
Filed under: Oceanobacillus oncorhynchi subsp. incaldanensis
Lineage: Bacteria; Bacillati; Bacillota; Bacilli; Caryophanales; Bacillaceae
Also listed under: 5 other names
Description: RNase P RNA component class B
Rfam family: Bacterial RNase P class B
About the family: Ribonuclease P (RNase P) is a ubiquitous endoribonuclease, found in archaea, bacteria and eukarya as well as chloroplasts and mitochondria. Its best characterised activity is the generation of mature 5'-ends of tRNAs by cleaving the 5'-leader elements of precursor-tRNAs. Cellular RNase Ps are ribonucleoproteins.
Source: RNAcentral
AUGUCUAUGUAAUCGCUAUGUCCAUUUUUGGAUGUAGAGGAAAGUCCAUGCUCACACAGGCUGCGAUGCCUGUAGUGUUCGCGCUUGAUGAAAUCAUAAGUCAAGGUAGUUUUUAAUAAACUAACGGCAGACGAGCUGUACUAAGUCACUUUUUGUGAUAUGUCAGCUCUCUUGAAAGUGCCACAGUGACGUAGCUGGUUUGGAAACAUACCAGGUGGAACGAGGUAAACCCCGCGAGUGAGCAACCCAAAUAAUGGUAGGGGCAUCCUUUAGUAGGGAAUGGAACCGAACAAGGGACAGCAACAGCUGUAGAUAGAUGAUUACAACCGGCGUACAAGGCUUGACCACCGUUUGCAGUACAAUGGAACAGAACAUGGCUUACCGGA